This 2253-nucleotide long non-coding RNA is filed under the name Mytilus galloprovincialis (Mediterranean mussel). Lineage: Eukaryota; Metazoa; Mollusca; Bivalvia; Mytilida; Mytilidae. The record is from RNAcentral.
UUUAAACCCAACUUGGUAUUGAUUAAAUCUUCAAUUUAGUAAAAUUGUAUAUAAGGCAAGAGAAUUACUUUUAGCUAUGAGAGUUCAAUGAUUAAUGAAAAUACUAUAGUGAAAUACGUAUUCGCCUCAAGCAGCCAAUCUUUGGCAAUUUUGUUAGAAUGAAAUUAAUAACAUCACUAUUAACUUGCAUGUGAAUAAUUCCACCACAUUGAAUGUCUAUUAAUGUGGCAUUUACUUAAUAUUUUUUACUGGGUUUUUCUAAUAGAAUUUUAGAACUCAUCGGCGACAGGCGUGCUGGAGGUCAGUUGGCUUUAGGUUGCAAUUGUUUCAUUGCAAUAAAUUAUGAAUAAUUCAACCUGUGCUAUUCAAAUUUUUAUAUAGUGGGUUACUGUUGACAAAAUUGAGGUCAAGUUCAAUUUUCACUUUUGCUGUUCAGGAAUUUAUAUGGUCCUUGAUUGGAAAAAAGGCACUUUAUAUUGUUUCCCUGUAAUUACUUAAUUGAACAGUUCAACAAAUGCUUUUUAACAUGUAAGUAUGUUGUUACCGAUGACAAAAUGAGAUCAAUUUUGAUAUUGAUAAUUUUCAUUUUGUCGUUCAGAAGUUAUGGUUCUUAUUGAUUAAGGGCAAUAACUUUUAGAAAUAAUCCACUAAUCAUAUUUCAAAUUUUAAUAGGGUGUUUAUACUUAUGGCCAAAUUGAUGUCUACUUCUAUAUUGACAAUGUUUUAAUAUUGCAUUCAGGUGUAAUGGCCCAUAAAUAGAUGUAAUAAAAACCAAGCAUGCUGUCAUUUUGACAGACACUUGUUUGUGCAAUGUGUUUGCUGAUAGCUUGUCCGGGUUGAUAAGGGACUCAUACAUUGUUUUAUGAUAAUAUGCCUUAUUACAUUAGAUACCUCAAAGUUUGAAUUCUAUGUUUCAGUGUAACACACAUUAUUUUAAUUCUGUGCCAGUGUAUCAUAAGGAUUCUAAAAACUCAUUGACUAAACUAACUUUUACAAAAACAUUACCGAUUUAAAGAUUUCUACCCCCUUAACAACAUCUUAAUUGUGACCUAGUAAGCUGUAAGAUUACAUAGGAAGUGAAAAUUCUCAGUUAUAAAAAGUUUAUGUUAACACCUUAUUUGUAAAUACAUACUUGUGCUCAAGUAUAUUGUAUUUCCUUGUCUUAUAUUGCUUUAGUCAGGAAACUCUCAUUCGAAACUUUGAGUUGUUCUUUUGCAGAUGAAAGUCUCUUUGUUAUUUUCUUACUUGUUUAUGGUUUUGUUUAUUUUUUUCUUUCCUUGAUUCUUGAGGUCUAUUUGGUUUAAAAUGAAAUUUUCCUAUUUUGUUUUGAAAAUUUCCAUACUUGUGCAAUAAUUUUUCUUACAAUUUCACUGGUAAUGAAACUGUAAUUUAGCAAUUAGCAAAAUAACCCCAAAAACUGUUAGAUAAAAGUUUCAAUGUAGUAUAUAUUGAAUUGUUUUAUAUAUAUAUAAUUUUAUUUAUAGUGCAACCUGAUAUAACAUUUAUUUUACAUACAUUGAUACAAAGUCAAUCAGCCAGCCUUCAAAGGCUUACGAAGCACUGUUAUAAAAGUGGCUAAUUAAGCUAUACAGUUUAUACACUUUAAAAAUAUUAUGUUUCCUGUUUAAGGUGGAACUAACACUUUAACAAAAAUUAAUUUGGCUCGUUUAAUUUUCUUAAAAUUUUGACAAAGUAUUUACUUUGACCCUUUGACAAAAAUAUAAAAAUUUCAAAAAAUUUGAACCAACCAUUUUAUCAGAAAAAUUACACUGGUUAUAUAGCAGUUUGACAAACACUCAUUUUGAUCAUUGAGAAGCUUAAUAUGCCCUUAAGAACACAACGUCAUUAAAACGUUCUGCUGAUUUUACAGAGUUAUCUCCCUGUAGUGUUAGGUACCACCUUAAAAAAACAAUUAGUGUACAAGAUUAUAAGAAACUUGUAUUUCAUUGAACUUUUGAAUUUCAAUGUGGUUCAUUUAAAUUCUAGAAUCUUUGCAAAAUAAUAUCCUAAAAAUAAUAUUAAGUGCCAAGAAUGAUUAAUUACAUUAAAAAAUAAAAGAAGUUGAUAGAACAUGUUGAUUAAAUGUCCUGUUUGAUAAGGCCAAAUAAAAUAACAUAUGUGUUUCCUAUUACAUCUUUGAAAAUAAUAAGUAGGGAUUUUUUUAUGCCCCACCUACGAUAGUAGAGGGGCAUUAUGUUUUCUGGUCUGUGCGUCCGUUCGUCCGUUCGUUCGUCCGGUUCUUCGUUCGUUCGU